This 6936-nucleotide long non-coding RNA is filed under the name Homo sapiens (human). Its description in RNAcentral is "non-protein coding LINC01697:30". The record is from RNAcentral. Lineage: Eukaryota; Metazoa; Chordata; Mammalia; Primates; Hominidae.
ACUCUCACUAUGCCCCCGUAACAGAGUCAGUUUUUAGGCGGAGGGUGAGAAUGGCUUGAAAAUUUGCUGAAUGCUAUCCAUCUCCCAGCCCCCAGAGAAAAGGGCUUUAGUUCCUCCCCCUGCCUGUGAAGUCUGCAGGCCAGAUUCGCGCCCUCCCCUGAGUUCUGGCCAGGAGGCUUCUUGCCCUGUUCAAAUGGUUACAAAGUUCAGCUAGAGAAUUCCUUCUCCCUGUAGAGUUUUACCCCCUGCUCCUCUGGCCGCCCUCCGGAUGGAUCUUUGUGUUGCCAGGCAGGAAUGGGCUGCUUGGGGACCCAGUGAGCUCCGAGGGCCUUUCUGCUGCUUCCUGUACCCCUGUAUUUCGCUCAGCUCUCUGACUUGACUCAGCUCCAGACAUCUACCCCUGGAGAAAGAGCCCAAUGAGAAGUAAUCUCUGAAGCCCAGAUUUCCUAAGGAUGAAGCUUCAGGAGAGGCCUUAUCAAUCCUGACAACAAACUUUUCUCGUCAAUUUAGUUUCAUUUAAUGGAAGUUUUAAAUGUGUAAAGUUCAGAAGGCUAUUAAAAUUGGUUCCAGCUAUCUAAGAUACACACACAACCACACACGCGCACACACGGUAGAGAUAAAUAUGUUCGAAAAUCCAGCUCAAUGUUACUAGAAAAUUUGAUCAGAAUCUGGUGAAAUAAAUAGUAAACUUACUAAAAAUGCCAAAUAUCCCAGAAGCUGCUUAACAUUUGAUCAAAAGCUCUGUCCAGUCAAUUCCUGCUUCUUUCAAAAAUACUCUGCUGAAAAGCCAAAGGAGAAAUGGGGCUGGUACCUUCAAUAUAGAGAAUUCCAAGUAAGAUUAGAUCCCAGAAGGCUUAGUGUGGCUUUCUAGGACUCUCACUAUUAGGCAGUAACCUACCAUUCACCUCUGUUUCCCAGAUUCACCUUGUUAUACCUUAUAACUUAAAAUAUAAAUUCCAACAAUGUACUGCACUCAAAAAAAUUAUUUCUCAAUUUGUUUGCUCAUACUAUUGAUUUUUUUCUAGAAUCUAAAUAAUUGUGAAUUAACUAUGAUAGCAGUAUGCACAAACAGUAAGUGAAAUCAGACCUAUUAAUUCUGAGAGGAAGGAGGUGUCAGGAUUUUCACAGAAGAAGAGCACUAAGGCCAGGCGCAGUGGCUCAUGCCUGUAAUCCCAGCACUUUGGGAGGCUGAGGCAGGCGGAUCAGGAGGUCAGGAGUUCUAGACCAGCCAGACAAACAUGGUGAAACCCCGUCUCUACUAAAAAUACAAAAAUUACACGCCUGUAAUCCCAGCUACUCAGGAGGCUGAGGCAGAAGAAUCGCUUAAACCCGGGAGGCGGAGGUUGCAGUGAGCUGAGAUCGCGCGACUGCACUCCAGCUUGGGCGACAGAGCAAGACUCCAUCAAAAAAAAAAAAAAAAAAAAAAAAGCAAAGCACUAAAUCUCGUAUGUGAAAGAUGAGUAGAUUUUUCCUAACAGGAGCAAUAAAAAUUAGAGCUAAAAAUAAUUUCAUGAAGCAAAAUAUUCAAAGAAGAUGAAGAAUGAAUAAAGACAAUUGAUCUGGUAAUUCACAAGCCAAGCUUCAGUAAGUGGUAGGAUAGACGCUGAUUUUUAAGUGUAAAAUGAGCAAAUUAUGCUGAAUAAAGAAAAUUAUUUAAAAAUUGUCAAGAAAUAACUAGAGACCCAGGGAAGACAAUUUUCAUUUUAAGGCUUAAUAAUGUUUGCAGACUGAAGGAAAAGAUGCAGUGGAGGAUGAGAGACCUUAGCAGGGGAUUAAAAUAGUGGAGCAUUUUUGUGGCAAUGCCAUUCAAUAAGAAGACAGCAUUGGAAAGAAGAGAGACAUUUAUUCCUCCUAGGUAGGAAGCAAAAAGUAGAAAUUUGUAAAGAAAAAAGUAUUGGGAGAUAAAGAAGAAUCACAGGUGUAAUCCUGAACAUCCUAAAUCAAAAUUAUUGUUUAUGUAUUUCUCCUUCCAGAAAUGAAACUUGUAAUAGACGAUCUGUGGCUUAAUAACCUUCUAUCUCCAGCACCUGACGUAUGGCAGGUCUCUCAAUAUAUAAUUAAGAUAUGGAUCUAUGGAGGUACAAUAAUUCUUGUUAUAUGAAUCACUAUUCCUGAAGUUGGAGUAUAUUGGCUCAUCUGGGAAUAGGGAAAUUGGCAGUUAGUUGAGAGACCAUUGGAACACCUGCUGAAAGAAACGUGAUAAUGAUUCAAGGGGAGGAAAAAAAAAAAAAAGAAAACCAAGUGAGGAAUGACCACAAUAACACUAACUUGAAGUGGAUGCAGUCGGCAUAUUUUUGAAAAUGUUUUAAAUCAACAACUUCUAUUUGGAGAGCAGAUGUAAUUACACCAGACAGCAGAGAUAAUAAAUAAAUAUCAGUGCAGUCACAGUGGUGUGGCCGGAGUAUCAGUGCCUCGGUUGCUAUGGGCAGCAGAAGACACAGAUGCCUCUGGCAUCCUAGCUGGCAAUGAAGAAAAAUAAACACAGAAUUAGGCUUCAGGUUAGAGAAUAACAGAAUAAUAGAGGUUAGGAUUUAGACAGAAAAAAACAGGCUUGCUGGAGUUAUGGAAGUGGGAGAGACGAAACAAGUGAAAAAGAACUUCUCUUCUUGUAAUUUCUCAUGUUCAAGGAAAGGAAAUGUCAGCAUUCAAAAUUGCAGAGAAUGAGAAAACAAAUGUGAUGAUUUUGAUCAAGGUCAUGUUUAUGCCGGUGAUUAACAGAUAAAAUGAAGAGUCCUUGGCAUCAUAGGAGGGACUCUGAGCCAGAGUGCUAAAAGGACCAUCUACUUAAAUGAUGGAGUUCAUAAUAAGAUUGGAGUGGAGAAAAAUUAUGAAGCAAGUACUCAGAAAAUGAGAAUGUUAGGAGGUUACAGGUUGAUGGCUUUAAGGAUGGAGAGAAUAUACGUUAUGAUAAACAUAAAAAAGUGGAUGGUGGAACAAAAGUUGCCUGAAAUUGGCAGCUGUGAGUAAUUAAUCUUUAACAUCUCUUCCUUACUUAAGUAGAAAAAGGGCCUCCAUCAAAAUGGUAGUGAGAAUUUUAUCCAUCAGAGACAACACACUUUCAGUUGCAGAUGAGACAUGGAAAAUAUUCUCACACAAAAUGUGGUCAAGAAAAGGAGUAAUAGUACUUAUUUUUCUAAUUGAAUACAUAAUAAUAUUAAUAUACAUUAUCUGUAAAUAUUCAUAUUGAUCAUGGGAGAGGUAAUCAGAAUAUAUAAUAUUGACAGCUGAAUUGAAAUUAAUAUAUUUUUCUAAAAAAAUGAGAUUAUGGGUAAUGAACCAAUAUUGGCUAGGUGAAAAUUGUCUAGUUUUUACAACUAGAAAUGCUUCCUCUCAAACACUUAUCAAAAUCACAGGUGUAUUUUAGGCUGCUAUAUUUGCCAAAUGAAAACAGGAUACUGACAUUCAUACACACAAACAUGCAAGCAUAUGCUGAAAUUUUCAUUCCAGAUGUCUACAAAAGAGAACAGAUAAUACGAAGUUCGUUACCUAUUUCAAGUUACCUCUGAGAUUCCUUACGCUGAAGACAAAUAUUCUAUUAAAAAAGAGUCCUUAAAUAGGCCAUAAGAACCCGAAUCCUUUCAUAAAGAGUGAAAGAGUAUGGUUAUUUUUGAUAACAAUUAUUAUCAAAAUAAAUUAUUUUUACUUCUAAAUUAGUACUGAUUACAUCUGAAGGUUUUUGUUUCUCUGAUACCAGGAUUUAAAAUUAUUUCAGAAAGCAUGAUUAGUUUUAGUGUCUGUAGAUCUUUGCUGUCAGUGAAUUAAAGUAUUUUUGAAAAAGGAAUAUGUAUUCCUGAAAAGUGAUCUAUACUUUAUAGAAAAUUACCUAUUUGUGUAAAUAUAGGAAAACAGCUCUAACAUUAAAAUAUGUGCAUCAAUUGGAUUCAGAGUGUUGCAUGAGGUUUCAACUUUAAAGAAGUAUUUAUAACAUUUGGAGAAACAAAAUUAACAAGAAAAAGUAAAACCAAAAUAUUAAAAAUAAAGGUAAUAUUCCUCAUCAGAAAAUAAGAAAAAAAUACCAACAAUUGUGGUAAUACCAAAGUGAUUUUAAAAAUACAUUUUUUUUUUUUGUUCAUUGGUUGUCUUGUUCAAUUCAGUCAAACAUAAGCCAACAAGAUAAGACUCCACAUAGAUCUUUUUAAGUUACCAAGUGUUGUGUGUGCCGCUCUAACUGUCCAUGGUUUCUGUUUUUUCUACUAAAAUUCUAGCAUACUAAAUUCUGUAUGGUAUUUUUUCUAGCAUUAUCUCUGGAAAAUUAGACCAGUGACUAAUACAAUUACUCUUUUAGUUUUCAUAGAUUUGACUAUAUGUCUGAGCCUGGAGUUGUUUGCGUUUAUUCUAUUUCGGAGUCACUCAGUUUCCUGAGUCUAUAGAUUAGUUUUUCACCAAAUUUGGGAAGUUUUCAGUCAUUAUUUCCUCAAGUAAUUGUUAAGCCCCAUAUCCUUUUUCCUCUCAUUCUAGGACUGCAGUGACACAAACAUUAACUAUGUCAUUAUUGCUCCAGAAGUCUUUGAGGCUCAGUUUUUUUUUUUCUUAUCUGUUUUCUCUCGUUGUUUAGAUUGGGUAAUCUCUACUAAUCUACCUUAAAUCUUACUGAUCCUUUCCUCUGUCAUUUCCAUUUUGUGAUUUUGUCCAUAUGCUGAGAUUGCUAUUUGGAAUAUUUUUACAGUACCUUGUUUAACAUUCUUGCUCAAUAAUUUUAACAUUUGUAUCAUCUUAGUGUUAUAGUCUAUUGAUUGUCGUUUCUUACUUGAUUUGAGAUUCUCCUAGUCCUUAGUAUGUCAAGUGACUUUGGACUAUAAUUUGGACACUACAUGUAUUAUGACGUAAGACUAAAGUUAUUACUUCGAUCUUUUACUUAAGUGGGUAUUCCACCUGUUUAGUUUCAAAAUACAUGUCCUAGCUCACUUUUGUUAGCUAUUGUUCAAAUUUCAAUUUGGUUUCUAAAUCCCCUGGAGUCCAGUAUCCCCCAGUCACAGUUGUAUGUGACUCAGGUGACAGGACUCUGCCCCACAAUCUUCUCAUCAUGGACUGGGGAGACAGAGGAAAAUUACUUCACUGCCACAGAGGAUGGUGGAAUUCAGAGUUCCAGGCACAUGUCCAUAGGGAAAUGGCACUUACACAUUAAAACUGGUCAGAAAUGAAUGGCAGAGUGACACCCACAGGCUUCAGUAGAUAGCGGUGCCUCCUGAUACUGGGAUGGGGUGGAGAACAGGCUUACGCCCCAUAUCUCUGCAGGGAUGGUGAGACUGCCUGAAUACCAUGGAAGAGGGAGAUGGAAGUCUGAGCUGUGCACAUAAGCUCCACUGGGGAGAGGUACAACCCAGUUACUGCAGAAGAAGGGAGAAAGUCAGAGGGGUCAUAGUCUCUACGGGGAAGGAAGGCCAUCUCAUUCCUGCAGAAGGUGGGUAGAUGUGAGUUCCACCCACAACCUCCAUGGUGGGGGGAUGCUACCUCCUUACUCCAGGAAGAGGGUGGAAGACAGGGUUCUAUCCCCAGUCCCACAGUUAUAGCACUCAUUGAGGUGGAGAUAGAACACAUUUUUUUUCAUAGUAUUCCUCUUGAAGAAAGAUAAGUAUGGUUAAAAUAUUUCUGCUAUGCUGGGUUACCCUUUUUCCUGGUACUUUCACUAGAGACAGAUGAUACAGAAGAGAAAGGGUGGGAGGGGGGGAGAGAUAUAGACCACAAAGAAAAAUAGAAAGGUGAAUAAUUCCUGAUAAUAUUAGAUGAGGUUAUUUAUUAAGACCUACUUUACACAUUUACUACAAGGUAUAAUUGACAAAAGGUAAAGAUCAUUUGUAAUGAGAAACUUUCUGCCGCUUGUAUAAUACAGUGUCUGUACUUUCACCAAUAGCUUCUCUAUUUAACAUUAUGUGGUUCUAAAUAAUCUUUCAAAACACAUACUAACCUGUUUCUCUGUAAUAUCAUCUCACAGACAGAUUUAAGGAUAAGUUAAGUGUUUUAAAAAUCUAUUUAUAUUAAAUUAUAUAAGAAUGGAGGCAGGAAGACAGAGCUUGGAACAUUAUCUACAAUUAGUGUCUUAUAUUGCCAUGGUCAGAAUGUUUGUGUCCUCCCCCAAAUGUAUAUGUUGAAACCUAAUUCCUAAAUUUGAUGGGGUUUAGGGAAGUGAUUUGGUUAUAAAGGUAGCAACUGUCAUGAAUGGAAUUAGUGCCUUUAUAUGGGGCUGAAGAUACCAGAGUUCUUCCCUUCUACUCUGUCAGGAGAUAGCAACAAGCUGGCUAUCUGCAACCCAGAAGAAGGCCUUCACCAAAACUCAACCAUGCUGGCAUUCUAAUCUAGAACUUCCAGCCUCCAGAGCUGUGACAAAUAAAUUUCUAUUAUUUAUAGGUCAUCCAGUCUAUGGCAUUUUGUUAUAACAGUCCAAACUGACUAAAACAACCACAAAGGCAGAAAAUGCUAGUUUUCUACUAAAUGGUCAUAAAGAAUUGAAUAAGUGAUCAAAAAAACAUGAGACAGCUGUCUGUAAAUUUCUGUACCCCCUUCCUCCAUCGUAAUAAAAAUUUUUAGCUCUACAUACAGAUACAGGAAAUAAAAAAUACUUUCCAAAUUUGCACCUGGGCAUAGCCAAGCAACUAACACUUGCAUUAGGAUGUGGGUAAUGGGUAUGCAUCUGCAUUCCGGGAGAUGCCCUUUGAUAAGGUGUGCCAUCCUUUUUUUCUCUUCCUCUUCUCACUUGUUCAUAUUGAACACUGAAGGGGCAGUAUAGCAUCUUGGGAAGCAGCAGAGUUACCAUAUAGACAAGUAGAGAAAACUUUUGACUUUGCAGAGUGGGGCUGUGUUGACUGCUUGACAUUUUACAAAAGAGAAAAAAUGAACUUCUAUCAUGUUAAUUCUACUCACAUUUGGGAUUGUCUCGUGCUUAAACUCAUAGCCGAACUAAUACAGAAAGGAAGAGAGCAUGAAGAAGUAUAACAUUUC